RNAcentral lists this ribosomal RNA (877 nucleotides) under uncultured Actinomycetes bacterium. RNAcentral's name for it is "bacterial SSU rRNA". It matches the Rfam family "Bacterial small subunit ribosomal RNA", at positions 8 to 890 of the family's 1533-position model. The record is from RNAcentral. Lineage: Bacteria; Bacillati; Actinomycetota; Actinomycetes.
AGAGUUUGAUCCUGGCUCAGGAUGAACGCUGGCGGCGUGCCUAAUGCAUGCAAGUCGAGCGACGCAUACCGGAGGGGUAACCCACUGGUAUGACGGAGCGGCGAACGGGUGAGUAACACGUGAGCAACCUGCCCCACAGACCGGGACAGCCCAGGGAAACUUGGAUUAAUACCGGAUGCCCUCGGAGGAUCGCAUGAUCCAUCGAGGAAAUGCCUUUGUGCUGUGGGAUGGGCUCGCGACUUAUCAGCUAGUUGGUGGGGUAACGGCCUACCAAGGCGUCGACGAGUAGCUGGUCUGAGAGGACGAUCAGCCACACUGGGACUGAGACACGGCCCAGACUCCUACGGGAGGCAGCAGCAGGGAAUCUUGCGCAAUGGACGAAAGUCUGACGCAGCAACGCCGCGUGGGGGAUGAAGGCCUUCGGGUUGUAAACCCCUUUCAGGAGGGAAGAAAUUGACGGUACCUCCAAAAGAAGCACCGGCCAACUACGUGCCAGCAGCCGCGGUAAUACGUAGGGUGCGAGCGUUAUCCGGAAUCAUUGGGCGUAAAGAGCUCGUAGGCGGUUCAGCAAGUCGGCUGUGAAAUUUCGAGGCUCAACCUCGAAACUGCAGUCGAAACUGCUGUGACUCGAGUCCGGUAGAGGAGAAUGGAAUUCCCGGUGUAGCGGUGAAAUGCGCAGAUAUCGGGAGGAACACCAGUAGCGAAGGCGGUUCUCUGGGCCGGCACUGACGCUGAGGAGCGAAAGCUAGGGGAGCGAACGGGAUUAGAUACCCCGGUAGUCCUAGCCGUAAACGAUGGAUACUAGGUGUUAGAGGUAUCGACCCCUCUAGUGCCGGAGCUAACGCAUUAAGUAUCCCGCCUGGGGAGUACGACCGCA